Molecule: unclassified non-coding RNA, 189 nt
Filed under: plant metagenome
Description: partial contains small subunit ribosomal RNA and internal transcribed spacer 1
Rfam family: Eukaryotic small subunit ribosomal RNA (bases 1-46)
Source: RNAcentral
AAGUCGUAACAAGGUUUCCGUAGGUGAACCUGCGGAAGGAUCAUUAUCGUAGGGCUUCGGCCCUGUCGAGAUAGAACCCUUGCCUUUUUGAGUACCUUUCGUUCCCUCGGCAGGCUCGCCUGCCAAUGGGGACCCCCAAAAACGCUUUGCAGUACCUGUAAUCGUCUGAACAACAAACAAAAAUUAAAA